UGGCUAACUCCUACGGGAGGCAGCAGUGGGGAAUAUUGGACAAUGGGGGGAACCCUGAUCCAGCCAUGCCGCGUGUGUGAAGAAGGCCUUAUGGUUGUAAAGCACUUUAAGCGAGGAGGAGGCUACUGAGACUAAUACUCUUGGAUAGUGGACGUUACUCGCAGAAUAAGCACCGGCUAACUCUGUGCCAGCAGCCGCGGUAAUACAGAGGGUGCGAGCGUUAAUCGGAUUUACUGGGCGUAAAGCGUGCGUAGGCGGCUUUUUAAGUCGGAUGUGAAAUCCCCGAGCUUAACUUGGGAAUUGCAUUCGAUACUGGGAAGCUAGAGUAUGGGAGAGGAUGGUAGAAUUCCAGGUGUAGCGGUGAAAUGCGUAGAGAUCUGGAGGAAUACCGAUGGCGAAGGCAGCCAUCUGGCCUAAUACUGACGCUGAGGUACGAAAGCAUGGGGAGCAAACAGGAUUAGAUACCCGUGUAGUCCAGCUGG
RNAcentral lists this ribosomal RNA (482 nucleotides) under uncultured bacterium. Its description in RNAcentral is "bacterial SSU rRNA". It matches the Rfam family "Bacterial small subunit ribosomal RNA", at positions 329 to 803 of the family's 1533-position model. The record is from RNAcentral.